RNAcentral lists this long non-coding RNA (1251 nucleotides) under Medicago truncatula (barrel medic). Its description in RNAcentral is "long non-coding RNA (MTRU_LNC006831)". Lineage: Eukaryota; Viridiplantae; Streptophyta; Magnoliopsida; Fabales; Fabaceae. The record is from RNAcentral.
GAACAAUAAGCAUGUCUAAUCACAACAUAAUAGGCACACUAAAAACACUAUAUUUUUUUAUUGUUUUUCUUUUUAUCACAAAUAGCCUUUUUCUUAAAGACUCUUUUAUCACAAAUAGCCUUAACGUUACUCUCUUUUUAUUGCAAGUUCAAAUUGCAUUCUUUUAAAUAGAAAAUAUAAAAUAGAAACAAACACAAAAUACAAAUUCUAAACAAAGAAUGCCAAUGAGCAAGAAAUCUCAAGUGGCUCAAAACAAAGACAAACAAGAGCACCCCAAACAACAACACUAGUACGUAGUGAACAGCCGCAAAACAUACCAAAACAAAGACAAAUAAGAGCACCCCAAACAACAACACUAGUACGUAGUGAACAGCCGCAAAACAUACCAAAACAGCAAAAAAAAUCUCAGGACGCCUCAACAGAACUACUACCCCAUCGCACCAAAAGACACUAAGACACUCCAAUAAUUAUGAGGCAUAGGACACCUCCCCUGGGGCUGAACAGGUCUACCUGAACACACAAAGCCGAACAAAAAUCUUAUGAAGCACGGAUACAGAUACCGACACCGGACACAAACACGUUACUAAUUUAAAAAAAUCACAUAAUUAUGUGUAAUUAUAUAUGUCAGUGUCGUGUCAGUGUCGAACACAACGCGUGUCUAACAACGGGUCACGCCUAAUCCAAACAUGGUUCAUAAACUGAGUUUCAAUACCAGACCAUCUCCAUACCGCAAAACAAGACAUAACUAGGUUUAACAAUAGAUGGAAAACUCAUGGUAAUCAACUAAAGAACAUGUAAUCAACUAAACUCAUGGCAAUUACAUUCAAUUUCAAUUUCAAUUUCAAUUAAAGAACAACGGAUGGAAUUGGAAACCAGUGGCAAUCAACUAAGUUACUAAAGAUGGAAAACUCAUGGCAAUCAAUAAAGAACAUAUAAUCAUCAUAUCAGAAUCAUAAUUAAUUAAAGGAAAUUACAUUCAAUUUCACAUUACCUUACAAAUUACAACAAUUAGGGUUUGUUGUGGAGAGAGAUGAAGAUAGCUGAAUCUAAACAGAAGAUGGAGGAGGAUGCGAUGGUGAACCGAUGAUGGAUGGAGGGAGAGUGGUCGUAGUCGCAGCUCGCCGGCGGUGGUGUGGUUCGAUCCAGUCGAUUUGCUUGUGGUGGGAGAAGAAACGGAACGUGUUCUCAAAUGAAAGAGAAAGGGAAAGAGGAAAUGAAAAUAUUAAUGUUAAUCAAGGGGUAUUAUAUGAA